RNAcentral lists this ribosomal RNA (124 nucleotides) under Vitalianthus aphanellus. RNAcentral describes it as "partial 18S ribosomal RNA". It matches the Rfam family "Eukaryotic small subunit ribosomal RNA", at positions 1712 to 1831 of the family's 1831-position model. The record is from RNAcentral. RNAcentral also lists the same sequence under 1 other name. Lineage: Eukaryota; Viridiplantae; Streptophyta; Jungermanniopsida; Porellales; Lejeuneaceae.
GGAUCGCGGCGACGCCGGCGGUUCGCCGCCGUUGUUGUUGUGAGAAGUUCAUUAAACCUUAUCAUUUAGAGGAAGGAGAAGUCGUAACAAGGUUUCCGUAGGUGAACCUGCGGAAGGAUCAUUG